GAUAAACGCUGGCGGCGUGCCUAAUGCAUGCAAGUCGAACGGGUCGCAGCUUCGGCUGUGGUCAGUGGCGGACGGGUGAGGAACACGUACGCAACCUGCCCUCUGGUGGGGAAUAACCCUUCGAAAGAGGGGCUAAUGCCGCAUCCGCUCACCUGGGUAAGGCUGGGUGAGGAAAGCCCGUGAGGGCGCUGGAGGAGGGGCGUGCGGCCGAUUAGCUAGUUGGUGGGGUAACGGCCNCCCAAGGCGGUGAUCGGUAGCUGGUCUGAGAGGAUGAUCAGCCACACUGGGACUGAGAGACGGCCAGACUCCUACGGGAGCAGCAGC
Molecule: ribosomal RNA, 324 nt
Filed under: uncultured bacterium
Lineage: Bacteria
Description: bacterial SSU rRNA
Rfam family: Bacterial small subunit ribosomal RNA
Source: RNAcentral